UUCCUGUGGCUCAGUUGGUAGAGAUUUCUGCUAAUAACGCAAAGGUUGUGGGUUGAAAACUCAGGGAAC
This is a non-coding RNA of Danionella cerebrum, 69 nucleotides long. Lineage: Eukaryota; Metazoa; Chordata; Actinopteri; Cypriniformes; Danionidae. The record is from the annotation of a GenBank genome assembly.